Octopus sinensis (East Asian common octopus) is the source of this 372-nucleotide long non-coding RNA. RefSeq lists it as uncharacterized. Lineage: Eukaryota; Metazoa; Mollusca; Cephalopoda; Octopoda; Octopodidae. The transcript is spliced from 3 exons. The record is from RefSeq and is a predicted model, not a curated record.
GUAUGUAUAUGUAUAUGUAUAUGUAAACUCUGGCUAGCUGAGUUUACAUACAUACACAUAUAUAUAUAUAUAUAUAUGGGUAUGUAUGUAUAUGGGUAUGUAUAUGUAAACUCUGGCUAGCUGAAUCUGCUAAGGUUUAAUGUGAGUUUAUUUCUUAGACAAACACAAUGUCUUAUUAGGGAAAGGAAAUUUAUAAUGUUUGGUGCUGUUUUCAUGAGCAUUGAAAUAGGUGCGAAUUCUCCAACAUUAGGUUAUAUGUGUGUGUGUGUGUGUAGCACAAACAUUAAAAUAUAACUCCUCUUGUGUAAUAAGCAGAAUGGGAUGACUAGGCAUUGCUGUUUGGGGGCUGGGGACAUGGAAUAUCAGACUGGG